CAUUUAUGGAGAGUUUGAUCCUGGCUCAGAGUGAACGCUGGCGGCGUGCCUAACACAUGCA
Molecule: ribosomal RNA, 61 nt
Filed under: Hydrogenimonas thermophila
Lineage: Bacteria; Pseudomonadati; Campylobacterota; Epsilonproteobacteria; Campylobacterales; Hydrogenimonadaceae
Description: 16S rRNA. Bacterial SSU
Rfam family: Bacterial small subunit ribosomal RNA
Source: RNAcentral